Molecule: ribosomal RNA, 85 nt
Filed under: Blautia sp. CAG:37_48_57
Lineage: Bacteria; Bacillati; Bacillota; Clostridia; Lachnospirales; Lachnospiraceae
Description: partial 23S ribosomal RNA
Rfam family: Bacterial large subunit ribosomal RNA
Source: RNAcentral
GACGACGAGGUAGAUAGGGCAGAGGUGGAAGUGCCGUAAGGCAUGGAGCUGACUGUUACUAAUCGGUCGAGGGCUUGACCUAAUU